CGUGAGAUCAGGUGGUCCUGGAGCCCACUGCGGGGUGAGCUUUUCCUGUGAGUAGCCUGAGGCCAGAGAGCAGUAGGAACCUGUGGCCUCCCAACCCUUGUCUUCUCCUGCAAAGAACAGAGGAUUGGGAUUCACGCCAGAAGGUACAGAAAUGGCCAACACAGACGAGAUGCCUCAAGUCUAGGUUAUGCGCAUGGAAUCACAUGGUAUCAUUCCUCAUUUCUGGAGUAAAAGGCAAGAAUACUGACAACAAGCAGUGCCGGGCAGCUGUGGGACAGGUGGAGCCCCCAUGGACCCUGCUUCUGGCGUGCAGUUUGUCAAUAUGACACUCAAAAUUCUGCGGAAGCUUUGAUCCAGUGACUUACCUCGAAUAAUUUAUCUUCAUUUUUUAAAAUUUAUUUAUUUAUUGAGACAGGGUCUCGCUCUGCCACCCAGGCUGGAGUGCAGUAGCACGAUCGCAGCUCACUGCAGCCUUGACCUCCGGACUCAAGCAAUCCUCCUGCCUCAGCAUCCCUCAAAUAGUGCAACCACAGGUGUGCACCAACACACCCAGCUACUUUUUAAAUUUUUUUGGAAAGAUGGGGUCUCACUAUGUUGCCCAGGCUGAAUUUAUCUUUAAAGGGCACGAAUAAGAUGAGUGGACAAAGAAGACCCAGUUAUGUCAUGGGGAAACCUGGAAGCCACCCCAAGAGCACAGCUUUGCAAGUGGAUGAGAGUUCCAAUCUCAGCCCAGCUGUGUGAUUCUGGGCAACUGUCCUAACCUCUCUGAACUUCAGUUUCCUCAUCUGUAAGGUGGGAAUAAUGGCAAUACCCAACCCCUCCAGGGCCGUCUGAGGAAGACAUAAGACUACAUGGGUAGAAUGCUUACCUUUAGGCACACAAGAGACAAUUUAUAUAAAGGAAAAAGUUGGUGGUCCCAUAUGAUGGAUUAUUAAACAGCUUUACAAAUAAAGAAGAGCCUCUCUGGGCCUCAGUUUCCCUCUUGAACAAAGAAAAAUUGGUCCUGGGAGCUCACUGCGUGGCUCCUCGACUCUCUGCAGCGAUCCCUCCCUUCCUGGCCCUGGCUGUGACUCCCUGGCAGCUGAGCAACUGGGUAGGAGAGGGACAUGGCUCAGUCUGUCUGUUGGGCCAUGCGUCAUUCUCAGCUUAGACCCAGCCUUGCCUGUCACAGGAGAGGGCGGGGGAGGGGAGGAGAGCCCAGAGGCCCAACUCCUCUACCCCUGGGCCCUGCCCCUCUGGCUCAGCCAGCAGGAAAGGCCAGUGGAAGGUGGGGGGCUUGUCUCACUGCCCUCUCCCCCAGGGAGGGGCAUUUGUGGCCAGAUCCAGUUUCUGGCAGGACUGGUUAGUCCAGGUGGCCUGGAUGGAUGGCCGAGAUAAGGUCUGUGCAGAUUGGCCAGGCUGGGCAGGAGACCCAAGCGGGACAAAGACAGGAUAGCCCUGGCCCAGCCUGAUUCACAGGUGGGGUUAGGAGCUGCCCCUGUCUUGUCCCAGCCUCUGUCACCAGAUUUUGGGGGCCAGGCACCCAGGUAUCCUCUAGGAACCUCCCGUCACUGCCUGCGGUGAGGUGGCACAGAAAGAGGUGAUCCUGGGGAGAGGUGUUACAGGUCCAAGGUGGCCCAGCACUUGAGGGGGUGCUGCAAGGAAGAGUUUUUACCAGCCCCUGAUGAGGCUCUAAAGCCCAGAGACAGCAUGACCUGGGGCUGCCUGGGUGUGAGGUUGUUGAGGAUUCUGGGUUGCAGGUAGGCACCGUCUUGGUUUCUCUGUCUCUGUCUGACAUUCCAGACGCUCCCAGGGCCUGGCUGGGCCAGCUUCCCUCAUGGGCUUGGUUCUCACAGACCCAGUCACAAAAACCAUGCUGCCAGCACUUAGUACAGCCUCAGGCCUAUACCACCUCCGUCCCUCAUCAGUGGGGUGCCCUCUGCCUGGUGGUUCCUGCCAGCCUCAGGCCAGGGGUUCAGAGAGCAAGUCUCUCUCAUAGGUGCUAUAGCCCCAGGGACCCAGGGCAGAGCACAACUCAGCCUCCCAGGCUGCCAGCAAUUCACUUACUAUACUGAACAUUCUGUUUCCUCCUCCACGACCACAGCCAUCCCUCUCCAUGCCCUGUGUGCUCUGCUGCCACGGUCCCCUUGCCCUUGCCUCUGGUCUGGUUCACCAAUGGGGACACCAGCUGAAGACUGGAAGGGUGGAAGGAGAGAGUGGCCAGAACUACUCAUCCAGCAUCUCCUGGGUUGAGGCUGGCCAUGUCCUGACUAAGAGCCACAGUCCCCACUGUGGUGGGAGGGUGGCCCUCUCCUGGGCUGCAGCUUGGGAGAGCUCCAGUAACAGCCCUGCUCCCACUCCCUAGAGGCAGGAAUGGUGGCUUCCUGCUCUCUGUACUGUCACCAUCCCUUAAGCAGCAUCUGUAAGUGGCCAGCUCAUUAAGCCCUUUCCCCUAGUUUGCAGACUACGUCUCCUGCCAGGAUCGGAUCAGUAAACCUCAGGACUCUCACAGCCCUACAGGGCAGCUGGAGCCAUCCCAUUUACAGAUGAAGAAACUGACUCAGAAUCAAAAACAACAAAUCCGGAGCCAUCACAUUACUCAACUUCAAACUAUACUAUAAGGUCAUAGUCACCAAAGCAGCAUGGUACUGGUAUAAAAAUAGUCACAUAGACCAAUGGAACAGAAUAGAGAACCCAGAAAUAAAGCCAAAUACUUACAGCCAACUGAUCUUUGACAAAACAAACAAAAACAUAAAGUGGAGAAAGGAAACCCUAUUCAAUAAAUGGUGCUGGGAUAAUUGGCAAGCCACAUGUAGAAUGAAACUGGAUCCUCAUCUCUCACCUUAUACAAAAAUCAACUCAAGAUGGCUCAAAUACUUAAAUCUAAGACCUGAAACCAUAAAGAUUCCAGAAGAUAACAUCGGAAAAACCCUUCUAGACAUUGGCUUAGGCAAAGCCUUCAUGACCAAGAACCCAAAAGCAAAUGCAACAAAAACAAAGAUAAAUAGAUGGGACCUAAUUAAACUGAAAAGCUUCUGCACAGCAAAAGAAAUAAUCAGGCUGGGCGCAGUGGCUCACGCCUGUAAUCCCAACAUUUUGGGAGGCUGAGGUGGGCGGAUCACGAGGUCAGGCGAUCGAGACCAUCCUGGCUAACAUGGUGAAACCCUGUCUCUACUGAAAAAUACAACAAAAAUUAGACAGGCGUGGUGGUGUGCACCUGUAGUCCCAGCUACUCAGGAGGCUGGGGCAGGAGAAUGGCAUGAACCCAGGAGGCAGAGCUUGUAGUGAGCCUAGAUCGCGCCACUGCACUCCAGCCUGGGCGACAGAGCGAGACUCCGUCUCAAAAAAACAAAAAAGAAAUAAUCAGCAGAGUCUGUUAAGACAACUAUAAAGUAGGAGAAAAUCUUUACAAUCUGUAUCUCUGACAAAGGACUAACAUCCAUAAUCUACAAAGAACUCAAACAAAUCAGCAAGAAAAAACAAACAAUCCCAUCAAAAACUGGGCUAAGGACAUGAAUGGAACUAAAAGUAAAUCUACCAUUUGAUCCAGCAAUCCCACUCCUAGGUAUCUACACAGAGGAAAAGAAGUCAUUAUACAAAAAAUAUACGUGCACACACAUGUUUAUAACAGCACAAUUUGUAAUUGCAAAAAUAUGGAACCAAUCUAAAUGCCCAUCAAUCAACAAGUGGAUAAAGAAAAUGUGGUGUAUAUAUACCAUGGACUACUACUCAGCCAUAAAAAGUAACAAAAUAAUGACAUUCGCAGCAACCUGGGUGGAAUUGGAGACCAUUAUUCUAAGUGAAGCAACUCAGCAAUGGAAAACCAAACAUCGUAUGUUCUCACUCAUGUGUGGGUGCUAAGCUAUGAGGACGCAAAGGCAUAAGAAUGAUCCAUUCAUUGGACUUUGGUGACUCAGGGGAAAGGGUGGGUGGUGAGGGAUAAAAGAUUACACUUUGGGUACAGUGUACACCACUCAGGUGAUAGGCGCACCAAAAUCCCAAAAUCUCAGAAAUCACUGCUAAAGAACUUGUUAAUGUAACCACUUGUUCCCCCAAACCCUAUUGAAAUAAAACAAGCACCACUUGUUCCCCCAAAAACUUAUUGAAAUAAAAAAAUUUAAAAAUAAAACAAAAAAAGAAAAAGAAAAGAAAAGAAAGGAACUGAAGCUCACAGAGAACUCGCUUCCCCACGGGGCCUUCCUUUAUGGGACCCAAGAGCUGAACCACAAAUGACCUCCCCCA
RNAcentral lists this long non-coding RNA (4221 nucleotides) under Homo sapiens (human). Its description in RNAcentral is "HSALNT0060260". Lineage: Eukaryota; Metazoa; Chordata; Mammalia; Primates; Hominidae. The record is from RNAcentral.